UCUGCUGGUAUGCUGGGAACACAUUGCCUUUUUAUGUAUAACCUUCCCAGUUAUGGCAAGUGACAAAAAGAUUGCUUCAAAAGCCUUUGUUGGCUCGGAUUAUUUUUGCAGUGCUCAUGCUUCUCCGUUCUCAUAAAAAAAAUCAGUUCCAAAUCCUGCUCUAGAAACUAAAUAACAUAAUACCUUCUCGACCAUAUCAUCCUUGUACUCCACGAUAUAUGGAUGUCUUAACUUAGCUAUCAGAUCCAUC
This 250-nucleotide long non-coding RNA is filed under the name Solanum tuberosum (potato). RNAcentral's name for it is "long non-coding RNA (STUB_LNC010720)". Lineage: Eukaryota; Viridiplantae; Streptophyta; Magnoliopsida; Solanales; Solanaceae. The record is from RNAcentral.